GUGAAUCAUCAAAUUUUUGAACGCAAAUUGCACUCUCUUCGGAGAGUAUGCCUGUUUGAGGGUCAGUGUUAAUAAAAAUCGGUGGGUUUCUUCUGUGUGACGCGCCGGAGUUUGGGUCAUCUUAUUAUACUUUAGUUUUUAAGAGUCUUAAAAUGUACUUUUGUUGCUCAGUGUAGAUGUACAUAAAUUCUGUUUUUUAUUCGUCUGUCUUAAUGCUCAAAAUCCUAUUAGAUUCGACCAUGUCGUGGGGUUGCGUGUCUAUAAAUUUUUCAUGAUU
This 277-nucleotide unclassified non-coding RNA is filed under the name Rhizophagus sp. (in: glomeromycetes). RNAcentral's name for it is "partial contains 5.8S ribosomal RNA and internal transcribed spacer 2". The stretch from base 1 to 65 matches the Rfam family "5.8S ribosomal RNA", at positions 84 to 154 of the family's 154-position model. The record is from RNAcentral. Lineage: Eukaryota; Fungi; Glomeromycota; Glomeromycetes; Glomerales; Glomeraceae.